AUAAUACAUCGGGAACGUGCCCUGUAGUGGGGGAUAACUAGUCGAAAGACUAGCUAAUACCGCAUACGACCUGAGGGUGGAAAGUGGGGGACCGCAAGGCCUCAUGCUAUAGGAGCGGCCGAUGUCUGAUUAGCUAGUUGGUGGGGUAAAGGCCCACCAAGGCGACGAUCAGUAGCUGGUCUGAGAGGACGAUCAGCCACACUGGGACUGAGACACGGCCCAG
RNAcentral lists this ribosomal RNA (223 nucleotides) under Ralstonia solanacearum. RNAcentral describes it as "partial 16S ribosomal RNA". It matches the Rfam family "Bacterial small subunit ribosomal RNA", at positions 110 to 334 of the family's 1533-position model. Lineage: Bacteria; Pseudomonadati; Pseudomonadota; Betaproteobacteria; Burkholderiales; Burkholderiaceae. The record is from RNAcentral.